GACAGUAGUAGAGUUAACAGUAGUAGGUUGAUAGUGUUGGUAUAGUAGUAGAGUUAACAGUAGACAGUAGUAGGUUGAUAGUGGUGGUAUAGUAGUAGAGUUAACAGUAGACAGUAGUAGGUUGAUAGUGGUGGUAUAGUAGUAGAGUUAACAGUAGACAGUAGUAGGUUGAUAGUGUUGGUAUAGUAGUAGAGUUAACAGUAGUAGGUUGAUAGUGGUGGUAUAGUAGUAGAGUUAACAGUAGACAGUAGUAGGUUGAUAGUGGUGGUAUAGUAGUAGAGUUAACAGUAGACAGUAGUAGGUUGAUAGUGGUGGUAUAGUAGUAGAGUUAACAGUAGAUAGUAGUAGGUUGAUAGUGGUGGUAUAGUAGUAGAGUUAACAGUAGUAGGUUGAUAGUGGUGGUAUAGUAGUAGAGUUAACAGUAGACAGUAGUAUGUUGAUAGUGUUGGUAUAGUAGUAGAGUUAACAGUAGUAGGUUGAUAGUGGUGGUAUAGUAGUAGAGUUAACAGUAGUAGGUUGAUAGUGGUGGUAUAGUAGUAGAGUUAACAGUAGACAGUAGUAGGUUGAUAGUGUUGGUAUAGUAGUAGAGUUAACAGUAGUAGGUUGAUAGUGGUGGUAUAGUAGUAGAGUUAACAGUAGACAGUAGUAGGUUGAUAGUGGUGGUAUAGUAGUAGAGUUAACAGUAGACAGUAGUAGGUUGAUAGUGGUGGUAUAGUAGUAGAGUUAAC
Long non-coding RNA from Oncorhynchus keta (chum salmon), 728 nucleotides. RefSeq lists it as uncharacterized. The transcript has 4 exons. Lineage: Eukaryota; Metazoa; Chordata; Actinopteri; Salmoniformes; Salmonidae. The record is from RefSeq and is a predicted model, not a curated record.